This 498-nucleotide ribosomal RNA is filed under the name uncultured bacterium. Its description in RNAcentral is "partial 16S ribosomal RNA". It matches the Rfam family "Bacterial small subunit ribosomal RNA", at positions 30 to 523 of the family's 1533-position model. The record is from RNAcentral.
AUUGAACGCUGGCGGCAUGCCUUACACAUGCAAGUCGCACGGUAACAGGUCUUCGGAUGCUGACGAGUGGCGAACGGGUGAGUAAUACAUCGGAACGUGCCUAGUAGUGGGGGAUAACUACUCGAAGAAGUGGCUAAUACCGCAUGAGAUCUACGGAUGAAAGCAGGGGAUCGCCAGACCUUGUGCUACUAGGAGGGCCCGUGGCAGAUUAGGUAGUUGGUGGGCUAAAAGCUUACCAAGCCGACGAUCUGUAGCUGGUCUGAGAGGACGAUCAGCCACACUGGGACUGAGACACGGCCCAGACUCCUACGGGAGGCAGCAGUGGGGAAUUUUGGACAAUGGGCGAAAGCCUGAUCCAGCAAUGCCGCGUGCAGGAUGAAGGCCUUCGGGUUGUAAACUGCUUUUGUACGGAACGAAAAGCCCCGGGUUAAUACCCUGGGGUCAUGACGGUACCGUAAGAAUAAGCACCGGCUAACUACGUGCCAGCCGCCGCAGUAA